RNAcentral lists this ribosomal RNA (435 nucleotides) under uncultured bacterium. RNAcentral describes it as "partial 16S ribosomal RNA". It matches the Rfam family "Bacterial small subunit ribosomal RNA", at positions 29 to 507 of the family's 1533-position model. The record is from RNAcentral.
AGCGAACGCUGGCGGCAGGCUUAACACAUGCAAGUCGAACGGGCUUCUUCGGAAGUCAGUGGCAGACGGGUGAGUAACACGUGGGAACGUGCCCUUCGGUUCGGAAUAACUCAGGGAAACUUGAGCUAAUACCGGAUACGCCCUUAUGGGGAAAGGUUUACUGCCGAAGGAUCGGCCCGCGUCUGAUUAGCUUGUUGGUGGGGUAACGGCCUACCAAGGCGACGAUCAGUAGCUGGUCUGAGAGGAUGAUCAGCCACACUGGGACUGAGACACGGCCCAGACUCCUACGGGAGGGAGCAGUGGGGAAUAUUGGACAAUGGGGGCAAGCCUGAUCCAGCCAUGCCGCGUGAGUGAUGAAGGCCUUAGGGUUGUAAAGCUCUUUUGUCCGGGACGAUAAUGACGGUACCGGAAGAAUAAGCCCCGGCUAACUUCGUG